UGCACCCUUGUAGCAAUGCUUCAUACAGUUCCCUCGAUGGUGCCGUCUAUGCUUUCCACAGUGGUGCCCCUACAGAAUUUUGCCUUGCCUGCGGCUUCGUAGCCACCACCUCAAUCAGAGCCACAGGCAUCUCUUCGAAGUUCAAAGAGGAGAUUGACUCAUUAAAGUCGCCUUAAGACCUAGCAGCCAAUCAGACGGUGAUCUCCAAGCCCAC
RNAcentral lists this long non-coding RNA (214 nucleotides) under Elaeis guineensis (African oil palm). RNAcentral describes it as "long non-coding RNA (EGUI_LNC002112)". The record is from RNAcentral. Lineage: Eukaryota; Viridiplantae; Streptophyta; Magnoliopsida; Arecales; Arecaceae.